RNAcentral lists this ribosomal RNA (703 nucleotides) under Streptomyces thermocarboxydus. RNAcentral's name for it is "bacterial SSU rRNA". It matches the Rfam family "Bacterial small subunit ribosomal RNA", at positions 89 to 805 of the family's 1533-position model. Lineage: Bacteria; Bacillati; Actinomycetota; Actinomycetes; Kitasatosporales; Streptomycetaceae. The record is from RNAcentral.
UGGAUUAUGGCGAACGGGUGAGUAACACGUGGGCAAUCUGCCCUGCACUCUGGGACAAGCCCUGGAAACGGGGUCUAAUACCGGAUACUGAUCGCCUUGGGCAUCCUUGGUGAUCGAAAGCUCCGGCGGUGCAGGAUGAGCCCGCGGCCUAUCAGCUUGUUGGUGAGGUAAUGGCUCACCAAGGCGACGACGGGUAGCCGGCCUGAGAGGGCGACCGGCCACACUGGGACUGAGACACGGCCCAGACUCCUACGGGAGGCAGCAGUGGGGAAUAUUGCACAAUGGGCGAAAGCCUGAUGCAGCGACGCCGCGUGAGGGAUGACGGCCUUCGGGUUGUAAACCUCUUUCAGCAGGGAAGAAGCGAAAGUGACGGUACCUGCAGAAGAAGCGCCGGCUAACUACGUGCCAGCAGCCGCGGUAAUACGUAGGGCGCGAGCGUUGUCCGGAAUUAUUGGGCGUAAAGAGCUCGUAGGCGGCUUGUCGCGUCGGUUGUGAAAGCCCGGGGCUUAACCCCGGGUCUGCAGUCUAUACGGGCAGGCUAGAGUUCGGUAGGGGAGAUCGGAAUUCCUGGUGUAGCGGUGAAAUGCGCAGAUAUCAGGAGGAACACCGGUGGCGAAGGCGGAUCUCUGGGCCGAUACUGACGCUGAGGAGCGAAAGCGUGGGGAGCGAACAGGAUUAUAUACCCUGGUAGUCCACGCCGUAA